Ornithorhynchus anatinus (platypus) is the source of this 445-nucleotide long non-coding RNA. RefSeq lists it as uncharacterized. Lineage: Eukaryota; Metazoa; Chordata; Mammalia; Monotremata; Ornithorhynchidae. The record is from RefSeq and is a predicted model, not a curated record. The transcript has 3 exons.
UCCCACAGGAAAUCAUGAGGAGCGUAUUUUCUGGCAUAUUUACAUUUUAAGGAACUCUUCAUCCUUUUGAAAUGACAGCAGGCCCUACAAAAAGUGGAGGGUUGUCAGACUUUGAAGCAAUGGACCAGUGUGAAUCCACUGGAUAGGUUUUCCAUUUGCAUGCUGCCUGGAAACUGUAGCAGUCAUACACGCCAUCCUAAGAUUUGGGACUGUUUACAUCAGUGCUACAGACUAGCUGCAUUUUAGCCAGCUGUUUCUCAAGGCCUCAUAAAAGUUGAAACAUCCGUAUUACCGAGAUUUGAUUUCAGCCCUUCCUCUACCCCCAAAAGGAAGGGUAAGGCACUGAAACUUAUUUUAAUAAGAACGCCAUAUGUUUCAGGUCAUAUAUCUUUUCCACUGGGUUAAACAAUCAUCAGCACUUCUGAGGAAAUACUGAAGAAGUAAA